GGCAAGGUGUGCAAGCCCCGUGCAAGCCGUGCGAGCCCCGCAUGAGGUUGUGCAAGGUGUGCAAGGCGUGCAGGCCUCCUGCAAAGUGUGCAAGGCUGUGCAACCCCCGUGCGAGGCGUGUGAAGUGUGCAAGCCCCGUGCAAGGUUGUGCGAGGCGUGCAAACCCCGUGCAAGGUGUGGAAGCCCCGCGUGAGGUUGUGCAAGGCGUGCAAGCCCUGUGCAAGCUAUGCGAGCCCCGCGUGAGGUUGUGCAAGGUGUGCAAGGUGUGCAGGCCUCCUGCGAAGUGUGCAAGCCCCCUGUGAGGUUGUGCAAGGUGUGCAGGCCUCCUGCAAAAUGUGCAAGGCUGUGCAACCCCCAUGCGAGGUGUGUGAAGUGUGCAUGCCCUGUGCAAGGUUGUGCAAGGCAUGCAAGCCCCGUGCAAGCUGUGCGAGCCCCGCAUGAGGUUGUGCAAGGUGUGCAAGGCGUGCGAGCCCUGCGUGAGGUUGUGCAAGGCGUGCAAGCUGUGCAAGGCGUGCAAGCCCCGUGCAAGCUGUGCAAGCCCCGCGUGAGGUUGUGCAAGGUGUGCAAGCCCCAUGCAAGCUGUGCAAGCCCCGCGUGAGGUUGUGCAAGGCGUGCAAGCCCCGUGCAAGCUGUGCAAGCCCCGUGUGAGG
Molecule: long non-coding RNA, 650 nt
Filed under: Anser brachyrhynchus (Pink-footed goose)
Lineage: Eukaryota; Metazoa; Chordata; Aves; Anseriformes; Anatidae
Description: lncRNA (ENSABRG00000015169.1)
Source: RNAcentral